ACGUAGGGUGCGAGCGUUAAUCGGAAUUACUGGGCGUAAAGCGUGCGCAGGCGGAUAUAUAAGUCAGAUGUGAAAUCCCCGGGCUCAACCUGGGACCUGCAUUUGAGACUGUAUAGCUAGAGUACGGUAGAGGGGGAUGGAAUUCCGCGUGUAGCAGUGAAAUGCGUAGAUAUGCGGAGGAACACCGAUGGCGAAGGCAAUCCCCUGGACCUGUACUGACGCUCAUGCACGAAAGCGUGGGGAGCAAACAGGAUUAGAUACCCUGGUAGUCCACGCCCUAAACGAUGUCAACUGGUUGUUGGACGGCUUGCUGUUCAGUAACGAAGCUAACGCGUGAAGUUGACCGCCUGGGGAGUACGGCCGCAAGGUUG
This 371-nucleotide ribosomal RNA is filed under the name uncultured bacterium. RNAcentral describes it as "bacterial SSU rRNA". It matches the Rfam family "Bacterial small subunit ribosomal RNA", at positions 525 to 896 of the family's 1533-position model. The record is from RNAcentral.